GAUGAACGCUGGCGGCGUGCUUAACACAUGCAAGUCGAACGGAAAGGCCACAGCUUGCUGUGGUACUCGAGUGGCGAACGGGUGAGUAACACGUGGGUGAUCUGCCCUGUACUUCGGGAUAAGCUUGGGAAACUGGGUCUAAUACCGGAUAGGAAUCACAUGUGGGUGUGUGGUUGGAAAGCUUUUGCGGUAUGGGAUGGGCUCGCGGCCUAUCAGCUUGUUGGUGGGGUAAUGGCCUACCAAGGCGUCGACGGGUAGCCGGCCUGGGAGGGUGUACGGCCACAUUGGGACUGCGAUACGGCCCAGACUCCUACGGGAGGCAGCAGUGGGGAGUAUUGCACAAUGGGCGCAAGCCUGAUGCAGCGACGCCGCGUGGGGGAUGACGGCCUUCGGGUUGUAAACUCCUUUCGUCUGGGACGAAGCGAAAGUGACGGUACCUGGAUAAGAAGCACCGGCUAACUACGUG
RNAcentral lists this ribosomal RNA (466 nucleotides) under uncultured bacterium. RNAcentral describes it as "partial 16S ribosomal RNA". It matches the Rfam family "Bacterial small subunit ribosomal RNA", at positions 28 to 507 of the family's 1533-position model. The record is from RNAcentral.